UACGUAGGGAUCAAGCGUUGUUCGGAUUUACUGGGCGUAAAGGGCGCGUAGGCGGCAUAUUAAGUCAGCUGUGAAAUCUCCGAGCUUAACUCGGAACUGUCAGCUGAUACUGAUGUGCUAGAGUGCAGAAAGGGCAAUCAGAAUUCUUGGUGUAGCGGUGAAAUGCGUAGAUAUCAAGAGGAAUACCUGAGGCGAAGGCGGGUUGCUAGGCUGACACUGACGCUGAGGCGCGAAAGCCAGGGGAGCAAACGGG
Molecule: ribosomal RNA, 253 nt
Filed under: uncultured bacterium
Lineage: Bacteria
Description: partial 16S ribosomal RNA
Rfam family: Bacterial small subunit ribosomal RNA
Source: RNAcentral